CCUACGGGCGGCAGCAGUGGGGAAUAUUGGACAAUGGGGGGAACCCUGAUCCAGCCAUGCCGCGUGUGUGAAGAAGGCCCUCGGGUUGUAAAGCACUUUCAGUGAGGAAGAACGCCUGGUGGUUAAUACCCAUCAGGAAAGACAUCACUCACAGAAGAAGCACCGGCUAACUCCGUGCCAGCAGCCGCGGUAAUACGGAGGGUGCGAGCGUUAAUCGGAAUUACUGGGCGUAAAGCGCGCGUAGGUGGCUUGAUAAGCCGGUUGUGAAAGCCCCGGGCUCAACCUGGGAACGGCAUCCGGAACUGUCAAGCUAGAGUGCAGGAGAGGAAGGUAGAAUUCCCGGUGUAGCGGUGAAAUGCGUGGAGAUCGGGAGGAAUACCAGUGGCGAAGGCGGCCUUCUGGACUGACACUGACACUGAGGUGCGAAAGCGUGGGUAGCAAACAGGAUUAGAUACCCCUGUAGUC
This 465-nucleotide ribosomal RNA is filed under the name Vreelandella stevensii. RNAcentral's name for it is "partial 16S ribosomal RNA". It matches the Rfam family "Bacterial small subunit ribosomal RNA", at positions 338 to 795 of the family's 1533-position model. The record is from RNAcentral. Lineage: Bacteria; Pseudomonadati; Pseudomonadota; Gammaproteobacteria; Oceanospirillales; Halomonadaceae.